Molecule: long non-coding RNA, 250 nt
Filed under: Lathyrus oleraceus (garden pea)
Lineage: Eukaryota; Viridiplantae; Streptophyta; Magnoliopsida; Fabales; Fabaceae
Description: Pisum sativum (pea) long non-coding RNA (PSAT_LNC038815)
Source: RNAcentral
AGUCAUCCACGUGGGGAUGGUGGUGGAAACCACCAUCUUCUCCGGUGAACCAACCAACUCCGGCCACCAGUUGCAGGUUUUUGAACCUCAACCAAAAUGCACGAGCCAGGUACCAAAAUGAAGCUGGGGUGACGUACAUCACCCUUGUAACCUUGGAUUGUCCUCAAGAUCUCUAUCAUGUGAGAAAUCUGAGCUUGAACAUCCAGGUAUGCAAACUGAAAAGCUUAAAAACAUGAAAUCAAGACCACCA